AGCAGUGGGGAAUAUUGCACAAUGGGCGCAAGCCUGAUGCAGCCAUGCCGCGUGUAUGAAGAAGGCUUCGGGUUGUAAAGUACUUUCAGCAGUGAGGAAGGUGGAUAUGUUAAUAGCAUAUUCAUUUGACGUUAGCUGCAGAAGAAGCACCGGCUAACUCCGUGCCAGCAGCCGCGGUAAUACGGAGGGUGCGAGCGUUAAUCGGAAUUACUGGGCGUAAAGCGCAUGCAGGUGGUUUGUUAAGUCAGAUGUGAAAGCCCGGGGCUCAACCUCGGAAUUGCAUUUGAAACUGGCAAACUAGAGUACUGUAGAGGGGGUAGAAUUUCAGGUGUAGCGGUGAAAUGCGUAGAGAUCUGAAGGAAUACCGGUGGCGAAGGCGGCCCCCUGGACAGAUACUGACACUCAGAUGCGAAAGCGUGGGGAGCAAACAGGAUUAGUACCCUGGUAG
Molecule: ribosomal RNA, 448 nt
Filed under: uncultured bacterium
Lineage: Bacteria
Description: bacterial SSU rRNA
Rfam family: Bacterial small subunit ribosomal RNA
Source: RNAcentral